AUGGUGGCUGUGGCCGUUCCGUCCUCCGUCCGCUCCCGCUCCGUCAUGAGAGGAGAUAGAGCCCUGAAACAAAGAAAAAACUAUUCAAGGGCCAUGCCACCCAGUCAUCACCAACUGCACAGCUCUUCGGGAACUGCAAGCGGGGAGGGUGCAUCGACUUCCCAAUGUGUCGGCGCAACAAGACUGGUGGGAAAAAGGUCUUGUCUUCAUCCCGGAGAUGUUCAUGUCCAGAUAAACUCCGUACCGAAAGAAUAUGUUGAAAAGCCAAGCUCCGGAAAUAUGAGGUCAGGUGUCCACAGCUGGACUCGUGAAUGCGUACACAGUGCAUUCCGGAGUCCCUCCCACAGUGAAGCAGACAGCCUGGUGACGCUGCCGCCCAGGCUUGAAGACCUGGAGGUGGCUCCUGCUCAGAAUUCCGUCAUCUUUUCAAGUGGUUGUAAAAAUGCCUUCCAUAUUCUGAUUCUGGGUGUCAAACUUGUUCCCCAGCAUAUAACAGAGGGCUGGCAUUACAGGUGUGUACCACUACACCCAACUGACUUCCUGCUCUUCCCCAAAGUCAAAAUGACCAUGACAAUAAUAGCACAACUAAAGGCACAAAGAGGACUUCUAGAACUGCUUCAGAAAGUGACCUGACCAAAGGAGUAAAUAUCUGUGAAGUGAAGGAGACUAUUUUUUUCUUUUUGAGACAGGUUCUCACCAUGCAGUUCAGGCUGACCAUGAACUCACUAUGUACCCCUGAUAAUCAUUCUGCCUCAGCCUCCUGAGUGCUGGGAUUACAGGUGUGCGUCAGCACAGCAAGUGCCUAUGUGUCUUUUACUGUAAUUCUGUAAAACAUUCAUUGUAUUUUAGAUCACACCUCACACACAUACAUAGGUAUCUACACCUGUAUCUGUAAUACAUCUAUAUAUGAUAUAUGUGGCAUAUGAAGACAAUUAACUCCAAGAAUUGAGCAAAGGCAAACUUGGUUUUUACUUGAAAAAUGUCACAGGAGUUGGCGGUCCCCAGGGUCUCCCAGCACGUGGGAGGACAUGGGCAGAAAAUGAGCAAGCACUCUGGGAGGAAGAAAGCCCCGUCAGGCGCUGUGUGGCCACGGGAGGAUGUCGUGAUCCCCCACGCGACUUCCCCAGCCACUGUUUCAGGACCACACUGUGGUCUCCUGUGCUGUAACUCUAUCCGAAUUUUUCAGUUUUUCUUUUGUGUUCCCCUUUUUCAGUCUCUAAGGCGGGGGUUGACAGGGCAACCUGAAUGAGACACCCAAGUGAAAGAGGAAGUGUCUCAGCCCUAACCAAACUUAGAACAGCCACCCAUUCAAUCAAUGACCUCUAUGGAAACAUUGAAGACAUCCUCUGUGUCCUUUAGGCUUUCUGGGGGAGGGGACAGUUACUGCGAGAGGCAACCAGCUUCCAUCCAGCCGGGUCAGGGCAGCGACCCCACAGAGAGAGCGGUCACCUCCCUGGAGAUAGAAGGAGGGCAGCCCAAAGCCAGGCCUCUGAUCCCAGCAAGCAGGACUUCCUUCCUUGCUUUUGCUACCCUUAGGACCUUUUCCCCAGAAGCUGGGGACCACUUAGCCCCAGGGUGGAGAUGGCCCAGGCUGGGUGAAAGGCAAGUGCUUUCCGAGAGGGCUACUCUAGCACUAUGAGCCGUUAACACCUUGCCUCAAAUUUGCUCCUCAAGGCAGUUAACAGCUCCCCAAGGGGCACCUGUGGGUCCCCUUCUUGCUAACUUGGGUACAGUGCUGGCAGGUGCUUGAGAGGCCCAUGGCAAGGUCGGAAACAAAUGCGGUAUAGUAGAAGAAACUGGAAAGGGCAUUGCCAGAACUGACAUUAGCAUGGUCUAAAAAUAUGUAUUUCUUGUGCAAUGUUAAAAAAAAAUUUUUUUUUUUAAACAGGGUCUUGCUAUGUAGCCCAGGCUGGCCUUGAACUCACGGCGACCCUCCUGCCCCAGCCUCCCAAGUGCUGGGAUUACAGGUGUGCACCACCAUGGCUAGCUUUGAAAUUUUUUACUUUAGCAUAAUAAAAAGGAGAGAGAUAGACAAAAGAACAAAAUUGCACCUGAUUCUUCUGCCCAGAAAUAACCCAUGUGAACACUGACUGACUUUUAGGCUUUUUUAUAAUGCACAUUAUUUCAAGAUAAUUGUGGCAAUAUGUGACUUCCAAAAUUGUGCAUCAUAACCUUUCAGUCUAUUUCUUAUUCCUGAAUGAAUAUUGUAUGAUGUGUUCAUCAGAGC
RNAcentral lists this long non-coding RNA (2227 nucleotides) under Fukomys damarensis (Damara mole-rat). RNAcentral describes it as "lncRNA (ENSFDAG00000024709.1)". The record is from RNAcentral. Lineage: Eukaryota; Metazoa; Chordata; Mammalia; Rodentia; Bathyergidae.